GAGGGUGUACCGUAGGCAUUGUUGACGGUGAAGACAGAAAUUUGAAGCGAGCGGGAGUCUUGGCUCGGAAAACGAAGGAAACUGCUUGUGGAAAGUGCCACGUACAAGGAAGUGCGCAGUCCGAGAUGACAGAUGUCUUGAUGGAUAUCAGACAUUAACUUCUGUGGUGAUGGCCUGAAAUCACCUAAAAGAUCACCAAACAACCAGGUGGGCUUCCCUGGUGGCGCAGUGGUUAAGAAUCCGCCUGCCAAUGUAGGGGACACGGGUUCAAGCCCUGGCCCAGGAAGAUCUGCAGAGCAACUAAGCCCGUGCACCACAACUGAGCCAAAAUUACUGAAGCCCGUGCGCCUAGAGCCCAUGCUCCGCCACGAGAGAAGCCACCGCAAUGAGAAGCCUGCACACCACAACGAAGAGUAGCCCCGCUCACUGCAACUAGAGAAAGCCCGCGCACAGCAACAAAGACCCAA
Long non-coding RNA from Lagenorhynchus albirostris (white-beaked dolphin), 467 nucleotides. RefSeq lists it as uncharacterized. The record is from RefSeq and is a predicted model, not a curated record. The transcript has 3 exons. Lineage: Eukaryota; Metazoa; Chordata; Mammalia; Artiodactyla; Delphinidae.